RNAcentral lists this ribosomal RNA (494 nucleotides) under uncultured bacterium. RNAcentral describes it as "partial 16S ribosomal RNA". It matches the Rfam family "Bacterial small subunit ribosomal RNA", at positions 28 to 507 of the family's 1533-position model. The record is from RNAcentral.
GACGAACGCUGGCGGCGUGCCUAAUACAUGCAAGUUGAGCGCUGAAGGUUGGUACUUGUACCGACUGGAUGAGCAGCGAACGGGUGAGUAACGCGUGGGGAAUCUGCCUUUGAGCGGGGGACAACAUUUGGAAACGAAUGCUAAUACCGCAUAAAAACUUUAAACACAAGUUUUAAGUUUGAAAGAUGCAAUUGCAUCACUCAAAGAUGAUCCCGCGUUGUAUUAGCUAGUUGGUGAGGUAAAGGCUCACCAAGGCGAUGAUACAUAGCCGACCUGAGAGGGUGAUCGGCCAUGUUGGGACGGAGACACCGACCAAACUACUACAGGAGGCAGUAGGGAAUCUUCGGCAAGGGACGAAAGUCUGACCGAGCAACGCCGCGUGAGUGAAGAAGGUUUUCGGAUCGUAAAACUCUGUUGGUAGAGAAGAACGUUGGUGAGAGUGGAAAGCUCAUCAAGUGACGGUAACUACCCAGAAAGGGACGGCUAACUACGUG